CCUACGGGAGGCAGCAGUCGGGAAUAUUGCGCAAUGGAGGAAACUCUGACGCAGUGACGCCGCGUAUAGGAAGAAGUUUUUCGGAAUGUAAACCAUUGUCGAUAGGGAAGUGAAAGGACAGUACCUAAGGAGGAAGCUCCGGCUAACUACGUGCCAGCAGCCGCGGUAAUACGUAGGGGGCGAGCGGUAUCCGGAAUUAUUGGGUGUAAAGGGUGCGUAGACGGGAAAACAAGUUAGGUGUGAAAUCCCUCGGCUUAACUGAGGAACUGCAACUAAAACUAUUUUUCUUGAGUGCAGGAGGGGUAAGUGGAAUUCGUAGGGUAGCGGUGAAAUGCGUAGAUAUUAGGAGGAAGACCAGUAGCGAAGGCGACUUACUGGACUGCAACUGACGUUGAGGCCCGAAAGCGUGGGGAGCAAACAGGAUUAGAUACCCGGGUAGUC
RNAcentral lists this ribosomal RNA (441 nucleotides) under uncultured bacterium. RNAcentral describes it as "partial 16S ribosomal RNA". It matches the Rfam family "Bacterial small subunit ribosomal RNA", at positions 338 to 795 of the family's 1533-position model. The record is from RNAcentral.